UGGAUCCAGACUCUGAUUAUGGCUCAGGAUGAACGCUAGCUACAGGCUUAACACAUGCAAGUCGAGGGGAAACGACAUCGAAAGCUUGCUUUUGAUGGGCGUCGACCGGCGCACGGGUGAGUAACGCGUAUCCAACCUGCCCAUCACUUGGGGAUAACCUUGCGAAAGUAAGACUAAUACCCAAUGACGUCUCUAGAAGACAUCUGAAAGAGAUUAAAGAUUUAUCGGUGAUGGAUGGGGAUGCGUCUGAUUAGCUUGUUGGCGGGGUAACGGCCCACCAAGGCAACGAUCAGUAGGGGUUCUGAGAGGAAGGUCCCCCACAUUGGAACUGAGACACGGUCCAAACUCCUACGGGAGGCAGCAGUGAGGAAUAUUGGUCAAUGGGCGAGAGCCAGAACCAGCCAAGUAGCGUGCAGGAUGACGGCCCUAUGGGUUGUAAACUGCUUUUAUAAGGGAAUAAAGUGAGUCUCGUGAGACUUUUUGCAUGUACCUUAUGAAUAAGGACCGGCUAAUUCCGUGCCAGCAGCCGCGGUAAUACGGAAGGUCCGGGCGUUAUCCGGAUUUAUUGGGUUUAAAGGGAGCGUAGGCCGGAGAUUAAGCGUGUUGUGAAAUGUAGACGCUCAACGUCUGCACUGCAGCGCGAACUGGUUUCCUUGAGUACGCACAAAGUGGGCGGAAUUCGUGGUGUAGCGGUGAAAUGCUUAGAUAUCACGAAGAACUCCGAUUGCGAAGGCAGCUCACUGGAGCGCAACUGACGCUGAAGCUCGAAAGUGCGGGUAUCGAACAGGAUUAGAUACCCUGGUAGUCCGCACGGUAAACGAUGGAUGCCCGCUGUUGGUCUGAAUAGGUCAGCGGCCUAGCGAAAGCAUUAAGC
Molecule: ribosomal RNA, 874 nt
Filed under: uncultured Bacteroidota bacterium
Lineage: Bacteria; Pseudomonadati; Bacteroidota
Description: bacterial SSU rRNA
Rfam family: Bacterial small subunit ribosomal RNA
Source: RNAcentral